This 497-nucleotide ribosomal RNA is filed under the name uncultured bacterium. Its description in RNAcentral is "partial 16S ribosomal RNA". It matches the Rfam family "Bacterial small subunit ribosomal RNA", at positions 28 to 506 of the family's 1533-position model. The record is from RNAcentral.
GAUGAACGCUGGCGGCGUGCCUAAUACAUGCAAGUCGAGCGAACAGACGAGGAGCUUGCUCCUCUGACGUUAGCGGCGGACGGGUGAGUAACACGUGGAUAACCUACCUAUAAGACUGGGAUAACUUCGGGAAACCGGAGCUAAUACCGGAUAAUAUAUUGAACCGCAUGGUUCAAUAGUGAAAGACGGUUUUGCUGUCACUUAUAGAUGGAUCCGCGCCGCAUUAGCUAGUUGGUAAGGUAACGGCUUACCAAGGCAACGAUGCGUAGCCGACCUGAGAGGGGGAUUGGGCACAACUGAAACGAGACCCGGGUCCGAACCCCAAGGGAGGCAGGAGUAGGGAAUUUUCCCGCAAUGGCGGAAGGCCGAACGAGGCAAGGCCGCGUAGGGAAUGAAGUUUUCGGAUUCUAAAAACCUUUUAAUUAGGAAGAAACAAUGUGUAAGGUACUAUUCCACGUUUGAAGGGUACCUAAUCGAAAGGCAACGGCUAACUACGU